This 406-nucleotide ribosomal RNA is filed under the name uncultured Pseudomonas sp. RNAcentral's name for it is "bacterial SSU rRNA". It matches the Rfam family "Bacterial small subunit ribosomal RNA", at positions 977 to 1382 of the family's 1533-position model. Lineage: Bacteria; Pseudomonadati; Pseudomonadota; Gammaproteobacteria; Pseudomonadales; Pseudomonadaceae. The record is from RNAcentral.
GGCCUUGACAUGCAGAGAACUUUCCAGAGAUGGAUUGGUGCCUUCGGGAACUCUGACACAGGUGCUGCAUGGCUGUCGUCAGCUCGUGUCGUGAGAUGUUGGGUUAAGUCCCGUAACGAGCGCAACCCUUGUCCUUAGUUACCAGCACGUUAUGGUGGGCACUCUAAGGAGACUGCCGGUGACAAACCGGAGGAAGGUGGGGAUGACGUCAAGUCACCAUGGCCCUUACGGCCUGGGCUACACACGUGCUACAAUGGUCGGUACAAAGGGUUGCCAAGCCGCGAGGUGGAGCUAAUCCCAUAAAACCGAUCGUAGUCCGGAUCGCAGUCUGCAACUCGACUGCGUGGAGUCGGAAUCGCUAGUAAUCGUGAAUCAGAAUGUCACGGUGAAUACGUUCCCGGGUCUU